UACCUGGCUAUUGUGUUUGAUUAUAUCCGUCACAAUAAUAUUCCCAUUUCCCCAAUAAUUAAAUUAAAUCGGGUUGCACCUUUGUUUAUGUAAUAUGUAUUAUAUUGCAUGCAUGUUAAAUACUUAAAUCGUCUCUUAAUAAAAUGUUAGAUAUUUAUAUAUAUUGCUAGCUAUCCUAGCCAGUGAGUAUUUCAGUAUUCAUGCGUAUUUCCUAAGUUUUUUAUAUCAGUAUAUAAUUGUUUGGGUGUUGUGGCAUGUUUAAAAUUGUGUUGAACUUGUAUUCAGUUGGCAAA
Molecule: long non-coding RNA, 293 nt
Organism: Ipomoea triloba (trilobed morning glory)
Lineage: Eukaryota; Viridiplantae; Streptophyta; Magnoliopsida; Solanales; Convolvulaceae
Exons: 2
Source: RefSeq, a predicted model, not a curated record